GCUACAACAACGACUUGUCAUCUGAACAUCUUAAGCGGGAUAUGAAGUGGAAUUGGCGCGUUCUUUAAACACCUGUGGCGACGACUUAUCGCUCUAACAAAUAACAAAAAUUAAAAAUUACAUAUUUUUUUAAAUAAUUCCACGGAAAUAAAAUUGGGGAUAACUAUAGAUGCGACUUGUCGUCCCCAUAGCUUUCUAUGCCCGGAAUUACGAGAGCAAGUCCGUUCAUUUUAUUCACGCACGCUUAUUCAACAGUCUCACUCUUUCUCGAUCGAUCGACAAUUCUCACGUUGCGACUUCCUCACCUCCUAAUCCCCGUAAAUCUUCUUCAUCUCUCUGGGAUCCUCAUGCUGCUAGCUGCCGAAGACCACCGACGAUUAGCUUCAACUUCGAUGAUUCUAAUUACCGACUUCAUUUUCACCUCUGGUUACGAAUUCUAAUGAAUACACACCCCACUCCGGUGACCUAGCACAAAUACCAACAACAUAACUUUUUGCAGCAAUGACCUUAACAUGUCCAUAAUGUCUGGGCUGCAGCAGAAGGGCUUCAUGUUUUUGAUGAUUUCAGAGAGGCUUGCACAUGGUUAGGACUUAGGAGUUAGGAGUUAAGUACCAAACAACAGGAAUGUCAUUUUUAAGCUACAUUUGGAAUGUAAUUUUCAGGUGGCAUCUUGGGAAAUUUUCAACUCCUUGGAUGUUAAAUAUGUCCUCAAUAUGAAAUAUAUUUGCAAUAAUGUAGUAUUUUGAGAUUAUAUCAUAUCGUAAUGUUUUGCAGUUAAA
Molecule: long non-coding RNA, 779 nt
Organism: Lactuca sativa (garden lettuce)
Lineage: Eukaryota; Viridiplantae; Streptophyta; Magnoliopsida; Asterales; Asteraceae
Source: RefSeq, a predicted model, not a curated record